CCCAGACUCCUACGGGAGGCAGCAGUGGGGGAUAUUGCACAAUGGGGGGAACCCUGAUGCAGCGACGCCGCGUGGGUGAAGGAGCGUUUCGGCGCGUAAAGCCCUAUCGGCAGGGAAGAAGGAGGACGGUACCUGACUAAGAAGCCCCGGCUAACUACGUGCCCGCAGCCGCGGUAAUACGUAGGGGGCAAGCGUUAUCCGGAUUUACUGGGUGUAAAGGGGGCGCAGACGGCAGCGCAAGCCAGGAGUGAAAGCCCGGGGCCCAACCCCGGGACUGCUCUUGGAACUGCGCGGCUGGAGUGCAGGAGGGGCAGGCGGAAUUCCUGGUGUAGCGGUGAAAUGCGUAGAUAUCAGGAGGAACACCGGUGGCGAAGGCGGCCUGCUGGACUGCGACUGACGUUGAGGCCCGAAAGCGUGGGGAGCAAACAGGAUUAGAUACCCUGGUA
Molecule: ribosomal RNA, 446 nt
Filed under: uncultured bacterium
Lineage: Bacteria
Description: partial 16S ribosomal RNA
Rfam family: Bacterial small subunit ribosomal RNA
Source: RNAcentral